CUCACCAAGGCAACGAUGCGUAGCCGACCUGAGAGGGUGAUCGGCCACACUGGGACUGAGACACGGCCCAGACUCCUACGGGAGGCAGCAGUAGGGAAUCUUCCGCAAUGGACGAAAGUCUGACGGAGCAACGCCGCGUGAGUGAUGAAGGUUUUCGGAUCGUAAAGCUCUGUUGUUAGGGAAGAACAAGUACCGUUCGAAUAGGGCGGUACCUUGACGGUACCUAACCAGAAAGCCACGGCUAACUACGUGCCAGCAGCCGCGGUAAUACGUAGGUGGCAAGCGUUGUCCGGAAUUAUUGGGCGUAAAGGGCUC
This 315-nucleotide ribosomal RNA is filed under the name Bacillus subtilis. RNAcentral describes it as "bacterial SSU rRNA". It matches the Rfam family "Bacterial small subunit ribosomal RNA", at positions 264 to 570 of the family's 1533-position model. The record is from RNAcentral. Lineage: Bacteria; Bacillati; Bacillota; Bacilli; Caryophanales; Bacillaceae.